CCUACGGGAGGCAGCAGUGGGGAAUAUUGGGCAAUGGGCGCAAGCCUGACCCAGCAACGCCGCGUGAAGGAAGAAGGCUCUCGGGUUGUAAACUUCUUUUCUCAGGGACGAAGCAAGUGACGGUACCUGAGGAAUAAGCCACGGCUAACUACGGGCCAGCAGCCGCGGGAAUACGGAGGUGGCAAGCGUUAUCCGGAUUUACUGGGUGUAAAGGGUGUGUAGGCGGGAAAGCAAGUCAGAUGUGAAAACCAUGGGCUCAACCUGUGGCCUGCAUUUGAAACUGUUUUUCUUGAGUACUGGAGAGGUAGACGGAAUUCCUAGUGUAGCGGUGAAAUGCGUAGAUAUUAGGAGGAACACCAGUGGCGAAGGCGGACUGCUGGACAGCAACUGACGCUGAGGCGCGAAAGCGUGGGGAGCAAACAGGAUUAGAUACCCGGGUAGUC
Molecule: ribosomal RNA, 443 nt
Filed under: uncultured bacterium
Lineage: Bacteria
Description: partial 16S ribosomal RNA
Rfam family: Bacterial small subunit ribosomal RNA
Source: RNAcentral